This 213-nucleotide long non-coding RNA is filed under the name Brassica napus (rape). RNAcentral describes it as "long non-coding RNA (BNAP_LNC024332)". Lineage: Eukaryota; Viridiplantae; Streptophyta; Magnoliopsida; Brassicales; Brassicaceae. The record is from RNAcentral.
UAUAUAUGGUUAACUAAGGAUUUGUUGUUGACUUGUUUUAAAUGCAGGUUCCCGUUACUUGAAGCUAGAUCAUGGCAGGAGGCCAAGUUUAAGUUAGUAAGGGUUUGCUUAGCCUUAGCUUAUAUUGCAUGCUAGGGCUAGAUUGAUUGUUAUUUUGGGUUGUUUGGGUUAGAGUCUAGUUUGCGGGUAGAGGCCGCCAGCACACUGAGUAAU